RNAcentral lists this ribosomal RNA (415 nucleotides) under Paraburkholderia xenovorans. Its description in RNAcentral is "partial 16S ribosomal RNA". The record is from RNAcentral. Lineage: Bacteria; Pseudomonadati; Pseudomonadota; Betaproteobacteria; Burkholderiales; Burkholderiaceae.
UCCCGUCAAUUUAUUUGAGUUUUAAUCUUGCGACCGUACUCCCCAGGCGGUCAACUUCACGCGUUAGCUACGUUACCAAGUCAAUGAAGACCCGACAACUAGUUGACAUCGUUUAGGGCGUGGACUACCAGGGUAUCUAAUCCUGUUUGCUCCCCACGCUUUCGUGCUUGAGCGUCAGUAUUGGCCCAGGGGGCUGCCUUCGCCAUCGGUAUUCCUCCACAUCUCUACGAAUUUCACUGCUACACGUGGAAUUCUACCCCCCUCUGCCAUACUCUAGCCCGCCAGUCACAAAUGCAGUUCCCAGGUUAAGCCCGGGGAUUUCACAUCUGUCUUAGCGAACCGCCUGCGCACGCUUUACGCCCAGUAAUUCCGAUUAACGCUUGCACCCUACGUAUUACCGCGGCUGCUGGCACAA